This 380-nucleotide ribosomal RNA is filed under the name uncultured eukaryote. RNAcentral's name for it is "partial 18S ribosomal RNA". It matches the Rfam family "Eukaryotic small subunit ribosomal RNA", at positions 592 to 976 of the family's 1831-position model. The record is from RNAcentral.
CAAUAGCGUAUAUUAAAGUUGUUGCGGUUAAAAAGCUCGUAGUUGGAUUUCUGCUGAGGACGACCGGUCCGCCCUCUGGGUGUGUAUCUGGUUUGGCCUGGGCAUCUUCUUGGAGAACGUAGCUGCACUUGACUGUGUGGUGCGGUGUCCAGGACUUUUACUUUGAGGAAAUUAGAGUGUUUCAAGCAGGCACACGCCUUGAAUACAUUAGCAUGGAAUAAUAAGAUAGGACCUCGGUUCUAUUUUGUUGGUUUCUAGAGCUGAGGUAAUGAUUAAUAGGGAUAGUUGGGGGCAUUCGUAUUUAACUGUCAGAGGUGAAAUUCUUGGAUUUGUUGAAGACGAUCUACUGCGAAAGCAUUUGCCAGGGAUGUUUUCAUUGA